Orcinus orca (killer whale) is the source of this 2521-nucleotide long non-coding RNA. RefSeq lists it as uncharacterized. The record is from RefSeq and is a predicted model, not a curated record. The transcript is spliced from 2 exons. NCBI's taxonomy places the organism in Eukaryota, Metazoa, Chordata, Mammalia, Artiodactyla, Delphinidae.
UACAAGUCCCAGGAGCCCGUGCGGGGACCAGCCCCCCAAACCAGAAGCCAGCGUCCCAGAGAUGCUGGGAGUUGUAGUCUCAGACUCGGGCGGGCAAGAACCUGGGCUGGCCUGCUGCGUCUCACCUGAAAAUUGCCCACUAUGGAGGUGCCCAAGGUGCAGAGGAGCCCCGUCCACAGGAUCAGCUGGCUGGGGGCCUGGAAUCUUCUGGAUCCUUCCAGAAACAGGCUGCUCUCCUGGCUCAGCUGAGGGGAAGAGGCCAUGGUCUUCCUCUGGGUGAGAUGAUAUUGCAGUUUCACUCUUAGGAAACUGCUUCUGCUUGGUGGUGGGAAUCGUUUUCCCCAGAAAAGGGAACCUGCCCGGGUAGGGGAUGAAGGCCUCUAGGGAUCUCUGUUUUCUCAGCUGUAAAAGCUGCCCAUGACACAGGCAUGAUGGUGCCUGUGUCAUGGGGUUCAGGAGUGAGUCCACGCAAGGACUUAAAACAGUGCCUUAGUGUUCACUGGCACAUAGUGAAUGCUGCAUAAAGGUAGGUAUUCACUGGCACAUAGUGAAUGCUGCAUAAAGGUAGGUAUUCACGUUGUGGGGUCCUCCAGGUUGUGUUCAGAACUUCUGCAGAGCGGGACUUCCCUGGUGGCACAGUGGUUAAGAAUCCACCUGCCAAUGCAGGGGACAGGGGUUUGAUCCCUGGUGUGGGAAGAUCCCACAUGCCGUGGAGCCACUAAGCCCGUGCACCACAACUACUGAGCCCGCGAGCCACAACUACUGAAGCCCACGCACCUAGAGCCCAUGCUCGGCAACAAGAGAAGCCACUGCAAUGAGAAGCCCGUGCACCACGUCGAAGCGUAGCCCCUGCUCGCUGCAACUAGAGAAAGCCCGUGCGCCGCAGCAAAGAUGCAAAGCAGCCGGAAAUAAAUAAAUAUAAAUAAAUGUAUAAGAUAAAGAUACAAAUAAAUAAAUAAAUUUAUUUUUUUAAAAAAAAAGAACUUCUGCAGAGCCUCCUGCAACCCUGAGAAGUUGUGCAGCUCUGUAGGGUAGGGAGCUCGAGCUCAGAGCAAGAGGCUUGCUGUGUCCCUGGGUCCUCCAGAAGGCAAAUGCUGCUGUGGCGUUAGCAAUGCAAGAGAUUUAUUGGGGGGACACCAGUGAAAGGUAGAGGGGAGGGAGAAGAGGAGUAGGCGGGGGAGUCGGUCUGCCACCUGUAAAAGGAAAGGGGGGAAGGAAGGUAUAUUUAGGAAGAGCUUGAGACCAUGCAACUCAGAGAGCUCAGCCCAACGGGGAGAUGCAGAGCAAAGAUGCACGGCGGACAAAUCCAUAGGAACAGAAAGUAGGUUGGUGGUUGCCAGACGGGUGGGGAGUGAUUGCUUAAUCACUUCCUUUCUGGAUGGUGAAAAUGUUUUGGAACUGGAUAGGGGUGAUGGUGGCACAAGAGUGCAGCGGUACCAAAUGCCACUGAAUUAUACACCUUAAAAUGGUUAAAGUGACGAAUUCUGUGUUACUUGAAUUUUAUCUCAAUUUAAAGAAAAAAAACAAACAAACAGAUUGCCAUUAGAUGAGUCCCACAUUGGGUGGAAGUGGUCAGGCCCCAGCACGGCCCCCACCCCUAUGCUAAGUCAUUGGUUGGGGGCUGCCCAAAAAGAAUCUCGAUCCAAAAAAAAUAACAGUUGCAGGUACUGCAGCUGGGAGCUGUCAGCCAAAUGCAGUCCUCACAGUUGAGUAAGUUCUUUAUUGAAGGGAUUCCAUUUUGGCUGCCAUACUUCCCAACGUCACUGUGGGCAGCUGGGGUCAGAGCUAAGGUUUGUCUGGUUCUAAAAUCUGGUUCUUCCUCCUACACAGUUGGUGGGAAUGUAAGUUCGUGCAGCCACUAUGGAGAACAGUAUGGAGGUUCCUUCAAAAACUAAAAAUAGAACUAUCAUAUGAUCCUGCAAUCCCACUCCUGGCUAUAUAUCUGGAGAAAAUUAAAUUUGAAAAGAUACAUGCAUCCCAAUGUUCAUAGCAGCACUAUUUACAAUAGCCAAGACAUGGAAGCAACCAAGAUGUUCAUCAACAGAUGAGUGGAUAAAGAAGAUGUGGUGCAUAUACACAAUGGAAUAUUACUCAGCCAUAAAAAAGAAUGAACUAAAGCCAUUUGCAGCAACAUGGAUGGAUGGACUUAGAGAAUAUCAUACUACGUAAGCCAGAGAAAGACAAAUAUCAUAUGAUAUCGCUUAUAUGUGGAAUCGAAAAAAAAUGAUACAAAUGAACUUAUUUAUACAACAGAAAUAGGCCCACAGAAAUAGAAACCAAACUUUUGGUUACAUAUACACACUACUGUUUAUAAAAUCGAUAACAAACAAGGACCUUACUGUAUAGCACAGGGGACUAUACUCAAUAUUUUAUAAUAACCUAAAAUGGAAAAUAAUCUGAAAAAGAUUAUAUAUGUGAAACUGAAUCACUUUGCUGUACACCUGAAACUAACACAACAUUGUAAAUCAAUUAUACUCCAAUAAAAAAAAUAAAAUAAAAUAAAAUCUGGUUCUUUCCAGUG